This 478-nucleotide ribosomal RNA is filed under the name uncultured bacterium. RNAcentral describes it as "bacterial SSU rRNA". It matches the Rfam family "Bacterial small subunit ribosomal RNA", at positions 28 to 506 of the family's 1533-position model. The record is from RNAcentral.
GACGAACGCUGGCGGCGUGCCUAACACAUGCAAGUCAACUUGACUGAAGGAGCAAUCUGACAGUAGAGUGGCGCAAGGGUGCGUAACGCGUAAGUAACUUGCCCAAGGUAAGGAAUAACGUCGAGAAAUCGGCGCUAAUACCUCAUAAUGCAGCGGAUCCGCAUGGAUAUGUUGUUAAAGGUUUACCGCCUUGGGAUAGGCUUGCGUCUGAUUAGCUAGUUGGUGUGGUAACGGCACACCAAGGCUACGAUCAGUAACUGGUCUGAGAGGAUGAUCAGUCACACUGGAACUGAGACACGGUCCAGACUCCUACGGGAGGCAGCAGUGAGGAAUAUUGGGCAAUGCUCGAAAGAGUGGCCCAGCAACGCCGCGUGGAGGAUGAAGGUAUUCUAUAUCGUAAACUCCUGUGAGAGCAGACGAAAGACAGAUUAUUAAUCUGGAUGACUGUAUGCUCAGAGGAAGCCCCGGCUAACUACGU